GGUGGCUUAGAGGUAGAGUGCUUGCCUUGCAUGCAUGAGGCUCUGGGUUCAAUUCCUCAGCACCA
RNAcentral lists this transfer RNA (65 nucleotides) under Dipodomys ordii (Ord's kangaroo rat). It matches the Rfam family "tRNA". Rfam says of the family: Transfer RNA (tRNA) molecules are approximately 80 nucleotides in length. Their secondary structure includes four short double-helical elements and three loops (D, anti-codon, and T loops). Lineage: Eukaryota; Metazoa; Chordata; Mammalia; Rodentia; Heteromyidae. The record is from Rfam by way of RNAcentral.